GAACGAACGCUGGCGGCAUGCCUACCACAUGCAAGUCGAACGAGACCUUCGGGUCUAGUGGCGCACGGGUGCGUAACGCGUGGGAACCUGCCCUUAGGUUCGGAAUAACUCCCCGAAAGGGGUGCUAAUACCGGAUAAUGUCUUCGGACCAAAGAUUUAUCGCCUUUGGAUGGGCCCGCGUUGGAUUAGCUAGUUGGUAGGGUAAAAGCCUACCAAGGCGACGAUCCAUAGCUGGUCUGAGAGGAUGAUCAGCCACACUGGGACUGAGACACGGCCCAGACUCCUACGGAAGGCAGCAGUGGGGAAUAUUUGACGAUGGGCGAAGGCCUGAUCAAGCAAUGCCGCGUGAGUGAUGAAGGCCUUAGGGUUGUAAAGCUCUUUUACCCACGAUGAUAAUGACGGUACCGGGAGAAUAAGCACCGGCUAACUCCGUG
This 434-nucleotide ribosomal RNA is filed under the name uncultured bacterium. Its description in RNAcentral is "partial 16S ribosomal RNA". It matches the Rfam family "Bacterial small subunit ribosomal RNA", at positions 27 to 507 of the family's 1533-position model. The record is from RNAcentral.